UCCAGACUCCUACGGGAGGCAGCAGUGGGGAAUAUUGCACAAUGGGGGGAACCCUGAUGCAGCGACGCCGCGUGGGUGAAGAAGUCAUUCGUGACGUAAAGCCCUAUCAGCAGGGAAGAAAAUGACGGUACCUGACUAAGAAGCCCCGGCUAACUACGUGCCAGCAGCCGUGGUAAUACGUAGGGGGCAAGCGUUAUCCGGAUUUACUGGGUGUAAAGGGAGCGUAGACGGCGAUGCAAGUCUGAAGUGAAAGGCGGGGGCCCAACCCCCGGACUGCUUUGGAAACUGUAUAGCUGGAGUGCAGGAGAGGUAAGUGGAAUUCCUAGUGUAGCGGUGAAAUGCGUAGAUAUUAGGAGGAACACCAGUGGCGAAGGCGGCUUACUGGACUGUAACUGACGUUGAGGCUCGAAAGCGUGGGGAGCAAACAGGAUUAGAUACCCCCGUAAC
RNAcentral lists this ribosomal RNA (447 nucleotides) under uncultured bacterium. Its description in RNAcentral is "partial 16S ribosomal RNA". It matches the Rfam family "Bacterial small subunit ribosomal RNA", at positions 330 to 794 of the family's 1533-position model. The record is from RNAcentral.